Sander lucioperca (pikeperch) is the source of this 103-nucleotide long non-coding RNA. RefSeq lists it as uncharacterized. The transcript is spliced from 3 exons. NCBI's taxonomy places the organism in Eukaryota, Metazoa, Chordata, Actinopteri, Perciformes, Percidae. The record is from RefSeq and is a predicted model, not a curated record.
GGGACUCCAUAUUAGUGAAUAGUUGGAACGACAACUCGGAAACUCGGUUUCAGAUUUUGUUGCCUGACUUGCUGACUUGACGUCAUAUGUGUCAUCAACAUGG